Molecule: ribosomal RNA, 618 nt
Filed under: fungal endophyte
Lineage: Eukaryota; Fungi
Description: eukaryotic LSU rRNA
Rfam family: 5.8S ribosomal RNA (bases 187-340)
Source: RNAcentral
UUACAAGUAGAGUUUACGAACUCUUAAACCCUUUGUGAACCUUACCUAUCGUCAGUUGCUUCGGCGGGAGGCCCCUGGGAGGGGCCCCGGGGCCCGGCCUGAGCCGGGCUCCCGCCGGAGGAGCGCAAACCAAACUCUUGCUGUACCUCAGUGGAACAUCCGAGUUAAAAAUAAAAAACAAGUUAAAACUUUCAACAACGGAUCUCUUGGUUCUGGCAUCGAUGAAGAACGCAGCGAAAUGCGAUAAGUAAUGUGAAUUGCAGAAUUCAGUGAAUCAUCGAAUCUUUGAACGCACAUUGCGCCCGCCAGUAUUCUGGCGGGCAUGCCUGUUCGAGCGUCAUUUCAACCACUCAGGCCCUGGUGCCUGGCGUCGGGGUUUCUUGCUUCGGUAAAAUCCCCUAGAAUCAGUGGCGGACCCGCCGCGGCUCCGAGCGUAGUAGUAAAAUAUCUCGCUAUGGAGGCCCGUGGGGGGAUUACCGGCCGUAAAACCUCUUCUUCACGGAAGAACUUUCUCAAGGUUGACCUCGGAUCAGGUAGGAAUACCCGCUGAACUUAAGCAUAUCAAUAAGCGGAGGAAAAGAAACCAACAGGGAUUGCCCCAGUAACGGCGAGUGAAGC